GACGAACGCUGGCGGCGUGCUUAACACAUGCAAGUCGAACGGAAAGGCCCUGCUUUUGUGGGGUGCUCGAGUGGCGAACGGGUGAGUAACACGUGAGUAACCUGCCCCUGACUUUGGGAUAACUUCAGGAAACUGGGGCUAAUACCGGAUAGGAGCUCCUGCUGCAUGGGGGGGGUUGGAAAGUUUCGGCGGUUGGGGAUGGACUCGCGGCUUAUCAGCUUGUUGGUGGGGUAGUUGUUGACCAAGGCUUUGACGGGUAGCCGGCAUGAGAGGGUGACCGGGCUCAUUGGGACUGCGGUAGGGCCCAGACUCCAACGGGACGCAGCAGUGGGGAAUAUUGCGCAAUAAGCGCAAGCCAGUUACGACGACGCCGCGUGCGUGAUGCCGGCCUUCGGGUUGUAAACCGCUUUCGCCUGUGACGAAGCGUGAGUGACGGUACUGAGUAAAGAAGCACCGGCUAACUACGUG
RNAcentral lists this ribosomal RNA (468 nucleotides) under uncultured bacterium. RNAcentral's name for it is "partial 16S ribosomal RNA". It matches the Rfam family "Bacterial small subunit ribosomal RNA", at positions 28 to 507 of the family's 1533-position model. The record is from RNAcentral.